Molecule: long non-coding RNA, 496 nt
Organism: Cyprinus carpio (common carp)
Lineage: Eukaryota; Metazoa; Chordata; Actinopteri; Cypriniformes; Cyprinidae
Exons: 3
Source: RefSeq, a predicted model, not a curated record
AUAUUCAUUUGUCCACAGUGCCCUUUGUUUUCAAUUUAGUUUUUCUUUCAGUGGUAUUUUUGCAUUUCUAUCUAGAGUUUAAAGAGUUUAGGUUAACUGAAGGCUGUGAAGGGAAUGUGGAGGUUUUCUACAAUGGAUCCUGGGGUAAUGUGUGCUGGAACCAGAUGGACAGAGACACAGCGAGUCUGAUCUGUCAAGAGCUGAACUGUGGAAGAUCUGGUGAUUUUUGUCUGAUUCUACAGCAAGAGUGAAAUCAGCUCCUAACUGGCUGGAUAAUUUUAAAUGUCGACCACAUGAUUCCUCUUUAUGGCAGUGUCCAUCUUCACUCUGGGGACAGAAUAACUGUGGUUACGAUGAAGUGGCCAAAAUUACUUGCUCAGCGGAGAGUGAUGAGUCUCCUCGGAGUCGUCUGACAUGUUCAGCAUCUCCUCACCAGAGACAGUGUUCAAAUCAUGUUCCUCUCAGACUGAGUGAAGGUAAGGGCCGGUGCUCUGGG